RNAcentral lists this ribosomal RNA (450 nucleotides) under uncultured Gammaproteobacteria bacterium. RNAcentral describes it as "bacterial SSU rRNA". It matches the Rfam family "Bacterial small subunit ribosomal RNA", at positions 944 to 1394 of the family's 1533-position model. Lineage: Bacteria; Pseudomonadati; Pseudomonadota; Gammaproteobacteria. The record is from RNAcentral.
GUUUAAUUCGAUGCAACGCGAAGAACCUUACCUACUCUUGACAUCCAGAGAAUUCGCCAGAGAUGGCUUAGUGCCUUCGGGAACUCUGAGACAGGUGCUGCAUGGCUGUCGUCAGCUCGUGUUGUGAAAUGUUGGGUUAAGUCCCGCAACGAGCGCAACCCUUAUCCUUUGUUGCCAGCGGUUCGGCCGGGAACUCAAAGGAGACUGCCAGUGAUAAACUGGAGGAAGGUGGGGAUGACGUCAAGUCAUCAUGGCCCUUACGAGUAGGGCUACACACGUGCUACAAUGGCGCAUACAAAGAGAAGCGACCUCGCGAGAGCAAGCGGACCUCAUAAAGUGCGUCGUAGUCCGGAUCGGAGUCUGCAACUCGACUCCGUGAAGUCGGAAUCGCUAGUAAUCGUAGAUCAGAAUGCUACGGUGAAUACGUUCCCGGGCCUUGUACACACCGCC